AUUACAACCGUACGAUGUUCAGCUCCUAGAUCGCCCGUAUACGGGAGAUGCGCAUACACGAACAUCCGUUAGAUUGUAUGUCCGCUAGACUCAAUAGAAUAUCACAGAGAGAUGAUGAUACACUAUACCUAUGCAAACGGAUAUUAGAUUGGACCAAAAUUGGAAACCCAUAACAGAUUCUAUCGGAUCACGUUACCUUAUUGUAAAUACUUAUCCGAAAAUAGCUUAUUGAAGCAGCGACAAUCUUAAAAGCAAUGGCCAUUUAGGAAAUGUUAUAGGCGUGUAAAAUUUCGACUAGAUCUUCCAUGACACUAACAGAUCAAAAUUAACCGUGAUACAGUUAAUAAACAUUUAUAAAAAAUUUAUGAAAAUUAUUUUGACUUUAAUUUCAGUUAAGUCAUUAAAUUGGAUGAAAUUCUCUCUCUUUCUCUCUUGCUACAGUUAUCAAUUGAAAGAAACUUACAAAGACCUCAAAGAACCGUGCGAGUAGUGCAAGUAGUCCCUUACACUACAAGAGACAUCGCGCCGCUUUGAAUAAUUAUUUUUAAAUGAAGUACACCGCGAGCUAUAUAUGCAAGGAGGCCGCGCGAGGGAAAGGGCAAGGGGAGCGAAGGGUGCUAAAGAGAGGAUCGAAAGCUGGAAGUAGGUCAGUAACGCUCGACGUGUGUGACUGCCUGCCUGUUGGGCUUUUCCCUCUACGGUGUCUACUCCUGCGGACGUGCUCGUCCUUGAUCCCGUCGCGUACCCUGCGAGAAUGGGGGCGAGAAUAACGUCCAUCUGUCCGUCCGUUUGUACGUGAGACCCGCGUAUGUGCGGGUGACAUGCGUGCAUCGUCAAUCACUGACGUUCCAUGACCUCCGCGUGGAACAUCAGCCCUACACUGCACACUCUGUAUUCCUAUCCCUGUCGCCUUACCGAGUAGUGCGGUUUCUCCUCUCUCUAUACCGAUGCGCUACUCUCUACAUGCGCGCGCGUAUGUACGUGCGGUACAUCUCUUGGUGCCGUCGCACGACAUGCACCAGGCGAUGUCGGUGUGAGAGAGCGUCUGCCCCGGCGCUGCUGCAAUCAAUACCAACUGAUGCAUUUGUGCCCGUGGCUUUCGUGCCCGGCCGUUCGCACGCAGUACCCGCGCCGAUCACCAAUCCUAUUUCCCGAUAUUUCUUCCGUAAUAACUCGCUAUCGUCUGAAUUUAGACAAUUCGAUAAAUUUCUCCUUGCAAAACAACCAGAAAUAUACUUGGAAAUCAAUGUAAUUUUAACGAAUUUCAAUCAGGGUCAAAAUCAUUAGCUCGAGGACCGACCUACUUCAAGAACGCCAGAAUAGAUAUUAAGAAAAUAGAAAAUUUACGAUCAAUGGAUUAAUUGAUACGACCUCAAAAUUAUCGAGAGAGUAUCGUUAAAAAUUAUCGUCUAUAAUUGCCAAAAAUAUCAAACCUUAUCGGUUGGAUGAAUAAAUAAACAUCGGCAUUCAAAAAUGUAAAGCUUUUAUAAAUUAUUAUCUCCUAUGUAGAAAUAGUUCGCUCGUUGCAUAACGAAUGAAAGUUGAAGAGUUAAUGUCAUACUGGAAACACAAUUGUGUUCAAACGACGUCAACUUGAAACGGAUUAUCAACGAGAAAAACUUCAAGCGUACGUGCGCAAUGCCACGCGAUCGCUACGCUUAUGUCGCUGCGUUACGACGACAUCGACACGCUAUCGACGGUUUCAUGUAAGUUUUUCUUUUUUUUCUAUCAAUAUAAAAGAAUCCAUUGUCUCUCCCCGUGCGUGCGAUAUUUACAGGGCACCCCGGGGGCCGCUUCCUGACCCGGAAGGAGGACCGAAGGGAGAGAGCCGAUAAUGUCAAUGCGGCUUUUCCUCGCGUGUUUUGAACGGGCCACACGCUGUGCGCUGAGUGCCUCUAAAUGCAACCUAUUUACUCGCCGCACCGCCUACAGGAUGUCUCGGGGAGAAAUGACUACCACUUUAACAAGGGCUAAUGUGUACGUUUCCAAAAGAUUGUACCUUUCCGCUGUUGUAGCUAUUGUUGCGCCGAGACGCCCUAGCGUGUGCCUCAGUUCUAACAAUUUCUAACAUUUUUUAUGGUAAUAUUAUCGACGAAUGUAGUGAUCAUCGAGUUGCCAUGUGUGUUAAGGAAUUGUUGAUUUUUAAAUAUACAGAGAAAGAGAAAGAGAGAGAGAAAGCAAAAAAAGUCAAAUAUUAAAAAAGUAAACAAGUAAGAAUAACUUUUAGCAAAAGUUAUCGAUUCAAACUUUAUGUCUACAUUAUAUUAAAUGUAAUUCAAUUUUUUAUUUUAUCAUCUGCGCUUUUGCUCGUUUCUUGACUUAUUAAAUCUUGUAACGCGAUAUGUCUUUAUAAGCGCGUUCUAAAAAUAUGGGCCUAUAUUUUUACUUAAUAUAAGCAAUAUUUAAUAAUAAAAAUAUAAACUAAAUGAGAAAUGGAUAAGACAAAAAUUUAAUAAAUUGUAUCUAGUUUUGUAUUAACAAUACUUAAAAAAAUCAGGUAUAAUUGAUCCUGUUAAUGUUUGAUCAGUUUAUGUAGCAGCUAAUGUAAUCGUGCAUUUUGUAUUCAAUUUUUGUAUUUUCACAAAAGAAUGUUUAUUGUAAAAA
Molecule: long non-coding RNA, 2604 nt
Organism: Solenopsis invicta (red fire ant)
Lineage: Eukaryota; Metazoa; Arthropoda; Insecta; Hymenoptera; Formicidae
Exons: 2
Source: RefSeq, a predicted model, not a curated record